UUUCAAAGCGAUUGGCCUGUAGUUUGUGAUUAUUUUCAUGUCUGUCUUGUUUUGGGAUGGGGACAAUUUUGAUUUGUCUCCAUUCCUCAAAGAAAUGGCAAUCUUUCCAAUCAUUGUUCAUAGUUCUUAGACCUGGUAAGAGGGAUUUUCUGAAGUUGUCUAAUAUGUCUAAACUUUCCGUGCAGUUCAGCGAGUUCUUAUACAUUGGUAAAGGAUUAGUGUCCAUAAACAGGGAUUGAAGGUGUGACAUUGAUAGGACUGGCUACUGGAUGAUUGAUAAUGGUACGAGGAGCUGCUAUUUUGCUGUACUUUAUUUUAGUCAUUCUUCUGCAAUUUCAUCAUUUAAGUUUCUUAUAAUACAAUUAGAAGAUUUACUCAUUGGAAGAAAUUGAGAAUUGUAGUUGCCAUCAGCCGAAAUGUUGUAAUAAUUGUGGAAUUCUGGUCAGAUCUCAAUCUUUCACAUUUUCGUUCUUCCGUAGCAUUACAAAAAAAAAAAAUUAAUUAAUUUAUUAAAAUAUUGUAUUUUGUUUUGUUAAACGGAUUCGAUGUCUUUAUUGAACUUUUCUUAAGAAUAUGGAUUGUACCGUUCAUGCUGCGGACCUUCACAGACAAA
Long non-coding RNA from Musca domestica (house fly), 613 nucleotides. RefSeq lists it as uncharacterized. Lineage: Eukaryota; Metazoa; Arthropoda; Insecta; Diptera; Muscidae. The record is from RefSeq and is a predicted model, not a curated record. The transcript has 4 exons.